UGCGUGGCUUGGAUUGUUAGGUCACAAAGCAUCCGUGUGACUUGAUUAGAUUAUCUGGAUCUUCGAUAUCUACAAGGUAAGUGACUUAACCCUUCAUAGUGUGAUUUCUCAAAAAAUUUGGAAAAAUUAUAGUCUAUAUUGCUUGAUUAAGUAAUUUUAUAAUUCUAAUUUGUUUGAUUAAAUGGUCGAGCAUGUUGUGUUUUAUCUCUGAAAAUGAUAUAAGAAUUAAUUAUGUAUUUGAAUAUGAAUUUUGAAAUCUGACCGGAUAACUUAAGAAAAUUAUUUUCACGAUUAUAUGUUCAACAUGGCUAUGAUCUGCUCUAGCCCCACCAACGGAGAUUAUAUGUUGGUUCUGUCGACUUGUAAUCUGCAAAACUGUUUCAACACCAUAUCACCGGUGAUUAGAAUACUGGUUAUCUGAGGGCCCAUUAUUUGGUAUUUGUCAUCGAUUAUUUGUUUACCGAUCCAUGUCACUUGGUGACGUGGACAUACCCAAAUGUUAGAAUUAGUAUCAUUUGGUGAAAAGUAUGCUUUUGCAAAGAAAUAGAAAUAUUAUUCUUUGAUAGUUAACAAGUACGAGAUUUUACCGGCCAAUGAUCUGUUGUUUUAUUUGAUUUGUUAAGUGUUAACAUGCUUUGACCUACUCUGAAGUGUUUUCUUGCUUACUGGGCAGGUGUAGCCCAUUCUUUUUUUCUCUCUUUGUUUCAAAUUCUAAACUAUGAUUACUUGCAGGACUGUAGGAAGCACGCUAGUUAGUUUGUGAGCAUUUUGUAAAUUUUUGUUGUUUCAGUUUUCUUUGUUAUCUGGUAUGUUGGUAGUUUAGCUUAGAUCUGAAGACUUUUAGCUGGAUUAUGUUAAUACUAUUUUGAAGUUUUUGACUCUUGUCAUCCCGGGUUAUAUGUUGAAGAAAAGGAUUUAUGGGAUGUUAUUAUAUCAGCUCUCGAGGAUUGAAGUUAUUCUAGUAUGGAUAUUAUGAAAUGAUUAGAUUUGUUGUCCGAUAGCAUUGCAUGUUUGUGGGGUCUGCCUUGCAGGCAUGCGGUGCCUAUUACGCGCUCAGUUUGGGCAUGAUAGAUCUACUUUAGGUUUUACCUAAAUCACCCCAUGUUCGAAAUCAUGUCAAUCUUGAUGUCUAACCACCAAGCACAAGUACUUAAGCUAAACCGACAUAUCCAAGUAACAUAGCAUACUUUGUGGUAUAUACUGGCAAGGAUUAAAGAACCGGCAUGCCAUGUCUAUGCCAGUUAUAGGUUGGCACGGCAUGUAUUGUGCUAUGUCAAGCAGCGUCAAGUCAUAUUCCCAACCACUUGCUAAGGCUCUUGGCAAACAAAAUGGGUCCAUGCAUGCCAAUAUUGGUUUGUGCCCUUAUGGCCUAGAGGAACAUGCUUUAGCACAAAAUAAUACGAAUCAACAUUGAGUGAUACUACACAGGGGUACAUGCCCCUAUGGUAUACCCAUUUCUUGUCGGCAAAAAACCAAGCAAAAUAUCACACAUUGAUCCAAGAAAACCAUUAGAAAACAAUAGCUAAAUCAUUGACCAAGUAGACUGAACUAUUUCUAUUUUGAGCAACAACAAUUAUAUUAUGUGCUGGAUAGGUAGUGUUUUACUUUAAAACCCUCCUUUCACUUUUCUUAGUGUUUUACUUAAAAACCCUCCUUUUUCUUUUCUUAGUGGAUGCACUAACAACACAUUACAAGUCCCUAGCUUGCCUAAAUUUUAUAGUCCAUAUUAACACAAGUAGAAUAUAUAGAAAGCUAAGUGUGCCAAGUCAACCACUAAGCAACACUAGGAGCAAGUUUCUUCUCAUAUGCCUUCUUUACUCUCCUAUCCUCUUUUCCUUGUCCUUCUUUGCUCACCUUUCUUGCCUCCCACACCUUUACCCUCUACUAGAUAAUUAUACUUCCAUCACCUUCAUGGCACCCCACCAUCGCACAACUCCGCUGUAUUGCCACCUUGACGAAGCUUGUUGCUUGUCAAAAUGUUGUAGCCCACCGCUGUUUGUUCACCUCCUCUCUUCAUCCUUUCCCCUCUCAUCAACUCCUUAUCUGAGUUGAGUAACCAGCAAAAUUGGUUUGAUCACAAAUGUGUAGCUUAUUGGCGGGUUAAGUCGAGUUUGAAUCAAGCCAGUUAUGCCUUCAUGGUAGAGAUUGGCCAAACCUUAAUCCAAUCUAACCCAUUACCAAUCCUAAUAACGAAAAAGGGGAAAAUACCAAACUAUGUUUACUCCGCAAAAAUAGACACAACACAUUUAGUCCAUGUACAUAAAAUCAACUUCUAAAACCUAAUUCACUAAUAGUAACUAUCAAUUUAUAUCAAUUGACAUUGGGAAAUGUGAAUUAAAUAUAUUUAGUAAUGUAAUUCAAUUUAGGUUAAUGGUGGUAGGAGGAUGUUAUUACAUGAAAAGGAAAUGAUGGAUGAAGAUGGACAUUCUACAACAUUGGAUAACUUACCAAAUGCAUGUUAUAAUUUAGUGGGAUUUGCUAAAAUUAUGUCAAUUAGGUACUAUAUUACUUAUUUUGAAUAUUACAAAAUUUUAUGCAUAACAACCAGAAACAUCUAUUAAACCAUCUUGAAUCCUGAAAGUCAUAGGCCCGUUAGACCUUUUGCACAAACAUAUAUGACAUUAAGUUGGAAAAAGAGAAAUAAUCACCUAAAAUAUAAAUGCAAAAAAAAGAGAAUAUCUUGUACUGGGAGAGAAAGCCUCUGACUCUACAUUAGAAGUUCAUAACAAAUUUCAACUGGUUGCUAUGGAUGAGAUUAGGACCUAAAACAUUUUUGAAAGAUUGAUGUUCAGAUAAACAUUCUAUAGCUACUUAUACACAAAUGAGAUGGUGCACGGAAAAAGAGGUAUAUCUAGAAGUCUUUGUGCAGUAUUAUCAACUUCUUGGACUAACAAAUCCAUUGUCCGUGGUAGUUGAUCAUAGAAGCUCAAGAACAAGGUUUGUCAACCUAGUGUCAUCAACAUCAGUUAGAUUAAAUUAUGUAGACAUUUCAUAUGUUGGGCCGACCUGGUUUGCUAGAUGAAAGUGAAACUCAAGCUAGUAUUCUACUGAAAGUUGCCCAUACAAGAUUUGCAUGAUGCAUGCAUAUCAAGAAGUCGGUACUAGGUCCAAGAAUCAUCAAAACAAAACAAAGGUUAAAGAACAUAGGAAAACCAGGCAAUGUUUCUAAAAUGAAUUCUUUGAUCAAUAACUCCAAUGGUUAUUUGUCCACAUCCCAAAAGUUGCAGUCCUGACACAGAUAUCAUGGCUAGCUUGCAAGGCUUAGCUCUAUCCGAACUAGAAUGACUAAGUGGCAAGUUAUUAGCUGAGAACCAAAAUGUCUGCAUGAACAUUAACCUGUUAAUCAUCUAAUCAAAGAAACAUCAGAUAUGACCAUCAAAGAUUUGUUGCUAGAUUACUAAUAGCAUAUACAUCUCAGCCUGGAGAAUUUCAAACCCAACCAAAUCAAAGGUUUACGUUUAUACACAUGCUUAUUAUUAAAUGCCUGCUAAUAAGUCUAUAACCCCUGAGCAAACCUAGCAUAACCUACACACUCAGAAAAUGUUCUUAUAGAGUAAUGGUGUAACACAACAUAACAGAAUUUCUCCUAUCAAGUACGUGAUUGAAACAAGUGCCAGAAUGGCAGUAUCAUCAAAGAUUUGAAUUAAUGGUACUAAAGGUAGAAAAUAAAAAGCUAUGGCAUGGAUAGUGGUGAUAGAAAGAGAAGAUUGUAAUGGUAAGCAAAAAUCGAUAAUGACAUUGGCAAAAAUAAAACAGAAUCUAAUCUUCAUUGCAUUACAAAAUCCCAGUGCUUUCCAGAAUUAGAGAAGAUUAUCACGGUCAUAAAUAUUUAAAUAGACAAAACCAAAAGUGAGAGAACGCAUAUCAUGUAUAGAGCAUAGUUAAUUCAAACAUUUUACAAUAAAUGAAAUCUCGCCACAUUUAGUCAUGCAUGCAACAAAAAGUUGAUUUUACAAUGUAAUUCCGCAGAAACAAGUUCUAGAUAAAUCAUGGCAAGUUCAAAUAAAUGGUUGACAACAAAAGUAGACCAUUUCUAGGAUAUAAGCAUCUUAAGGGAUUCCUUUGACAAAGAACAACGAGGACAAAAGUUAUUUACUUACGGAGCCAUCCAGCGGUAAGUUCCAGUCUCUGGAGUCAUUCCCUCAGUUUGCACCUCAAUCCGAGCCACUCCAAAGUCAGCAAUCUUGAUGGAUUUGUCUGCAAAAAUGAGAAGGUUGUCUGACUUGAGAUCCCUGUGAAUAAAGCCCAGUCCGUGCACAUAGGCCAUUCCCCUGGCAACAUCCAGUGCUUGUUUGACAGCCAGCCUCAGUGGCACCGAUCUGUUCUGCCUCUUCAUCAGGAACUGCCGAACUGAGCCACCCCUUGCAUACUCAGUCACGAUGCACCAAACCAUCGGCUUCCUGCAUGCGCCUAUAAACCUAACCACAUUUGGAUGCCUCAGGUUUGCCAGCAUCAUGACCUCCUGCACAAACUGCUGCUCCAUCAACCUCUCUCUUUCUGGGUCAUUCUCUGGCCUUUCUAGCAGCUUAAUGGCAACAUCUUCUCCAUUGUAGGUGCCCUUGUAAAGUUUUCCAAAGGCCCCCUGCGCAAAGGGCAUUCCCAUGUUGAGCUUCCCCAGAUCGAUGGUCCACUCAUCAUAAUCCUUGAGUGUCUCCGUCGGGGAAUGGGGGUCCAUCAAUGCCUUGGCCAGUGCAUCCUCAUUGAGCGCAUGAGACACCUUUCCAGGGUGUCUGCUGUGAUUCACAGAAUAAUUAGCGGAGGGCAUGGGACGAAGUCCAGGAUGGUUGAGGAUGCCAGUAUGGGAGUCACUCGACCCCACACUGCUGUUGUCCACUGACAUCGCAAUGGACCCUCCACCAUUGGUAGUCUGUAGGCUAUUUCCACUUUCUAUGGACAUGUUGGAGCCCUCCCCGAGCUUUCGGUAGUAUGCCAUGUCAUAGAAGUUGUUCCCGUUGUCGUUUCCACCGCCGCCGCCCAUGAGUCCAGUAAAUUUCGGGCCUUCCACCAUCUCUGAUCCAGCUGAACUUUCAGAUGCUCACAGCUCCAAACCUCGCGCACUCUGUGGCAUCUGAACUCCCGCCAGCCUCAGAGCUUAGCCACAAGAACAGAGAAUCACAUCAGUUCCGAUCAGCAGUCAAUGUUCCUUCUAAAGACAUCAAAAAUUCCAACUUCUUUAUUUUUUUUCCCCCUCUGGUCAUCCAUACAUCUACCUCACCAUAGAUAAAACCCUAAGAAUUAAUCUCUACUACCCCAUCCCUUCCCUCAAUUAGCGAUUCAAAUCACCCGAAACGCACCCAAUUUAUUAUUCGCAAACCGAAACCCCUAAAAGAACCCCCCAGAACGGUCAAUCCGAGAGCAAGAAUCUCAGAUAAAACGUUACCAUACGCACAACCAACCCCGCAGCUAAGAUAGCAGAUUAAGAACACAAGAAGGAGAAGAACAGCAGCGAUUAAACCAAGAAACGAGCCAAGAAGCCCUAGAGGCGAACAAAUUCUCCGAUCGGAGCCCAAGAACCAUCGGUUCCAGCUAUACGUACCUCGAUCGGGAGGGAUUCCUUCGACGCGACGCGAGGGGCAAGGGACCCGGAGCGGGAUCUCGUCGCCCAGGGCGGAAAUCGGCGGGUAAAGAAGGGACGAAUGGGGAUCGGCGAGGGAUUAGGAGAACUCCUUCUUCCCCUCUCUUGGAGACGGGAGAGACGAGGAGGAGUAAGCGGAGGAAGAGUUUAGUCGUUGCUGCUUGCCGUUCCCACCGGCGUCUUUGAGCCUCCUUAAUUAACCCUCUCCCUCAUUUAUAAUUAUAAUUUCCGUCUGUUUUUAGCCUAAUUUAAUUCCUUGUUUACUUUUAUUCUUAUUUAAUUACUCCCGUCCUUGGACCGAGGGGUCCGCGGCCACGUUUUUUAAGCGGCUACGAAUGUUCCUUUUCUCGCGAUUUGUAUCGCUCGAUAAAUCGCGAUAGAGCACGAGAAAAACGUGAGGGCCCUAUAUUCUCGAAGUGUUCCCUUCUAUUUUGCCCCUAUCCUAUACUGAAUUUACAAUUUUGCCAGACUUCCACCAGUUUGCUCCAGCUGGUACGCUGCGGGAAGGUUGUCCGUCUGACCGCCAUCCGAGCGCGUCGGCCCAGAUCCGCUCACCUCCCGGUGGGCUGCACUCAAGAUAAUCAUGGCGGGUAGGGCGUACAUAAAAUUUUUUUUUUCUUCAAACAAAGAAUUAAUUAAUGCAACAUUUAAAUUUUUGGAGAGAAGCUGAGGACGAUAUAUGCCGGACUAGAUCAUGCUCAACAACUAUAGCGGACUAACUUAGUCAUACUUGAAAGUAACUCGGCCACAAUAAUUAAAUGAAUUCUGAGUGACACCAACAGUGGUGGAGGGUGCCAUUCUUUGCUUCGAGACAUUCAAGCUAUGAUCAGUAGCGGUGUGACCUUUUGGACCAAAUAUAUGUUUAGAAAGACUAGUCGGUCGCGGAUUGGAUAACUUCGUAUAUGGUCAGUUAUUCUAGAGGCACCAUGUGCGUUGGAGAAGGAGAGUUAUUUAUAGCGCUCUGGGGCUUGUUAUUUUUCGAUUUUAUUGGAUGUAUCUACAUUAGAAUCAUCCAUCCUAUUAAAAAAAAAUUAUAAGAGGAGGAUCUUUCUCUUAGGUAAGUUACGGGAGGUGACCGCAUCGGAAAUGGACGGUAAGAGCGACCGUUGUUGGUGGAGGGGCAGUUUGGUAAUCUCGUCGAGACAAACAAGGCUGGGCGUGGCAAGUGACCGUUGGGAGGGGAUAACGUAACGGACGCGCGGAGGUGACAACUGACAAGGUUAAAAGGCCGUGGGGACUGGGGAAGGGUUAACGUCGAGACUGGGAGCCGCGGCCGUGGUUUUCCGUUCCCAUUGCGCGACCUGGUUUUGUGGUUUUUCUUUUACUUUUUCCGUCUCGGCCGUGUCUUGCUUUGGCCCUUCUUUUCUUCGGCACGAGGACUGACGCUGGGGCGUCGCGAGGCACGAGUCACAACUUUCUCGUUGGUAGCGCAAAAUAGAUGCCUCUGUUCCCCCGGGUGCACGGUCGUGCAGACCCAGUCUUGGGACCCACCCACACCAAGAUGUAGGGCCCAUUUCAGUCAGAGAUGUGAGCCUAGUAAACUUUUGAAGACAUAGACCGCCUUGGAAAGCUCGCACCGGUGAACUUCAAGUGUGAUGUAAACUUUAUGGCCUACCAGAUCCGUUGCCAUCCCCAGAAGAGGAGGAUGGUUGGGAAAUAAAAGAAAGAGCGAUUAGGCAUUAUUUAGAUGGAUGCUUCUUCUAGCCAUAUUACUCUAUUUUUUAAAAAUAUUUCUAUCAAGAAAAAAAAUAAAUAACCAGGAUCUAAACAUCUUCCCUGUAAUGAGCAUGUCAAAAGAUGCAAGGAAGGGAAAAAAAAGAAAAGUAGUGUCAAUAAAAGUUUUGCUUGACAGGUGUCAAGGUCUGCAACUUGAUACAUAAUUUUUUUUUUUUUCAUGGGUAGUGGGGUACAUAGUCUCAAAGAAGAAAAGAAAAAAUUAUGAUCCAAAUAUUGAAAUACUGUACCAAGCUUAAACUCUUCACAGGGAGCGACAGCUUUAUCUUUAUUGGUCAACCAAUCAGCUGUAGAUUGCCUUCUCUAUGAGUAUGAGCAAUAUGCAAUGAUUUUAAACUAUCGCGAUAUGAUAUAUAUCUUGCAAGUGAGAAUUGAGCAAAGAAUUAGCAUUGAAAGUCCAUCAAUCCAAUUAAUAACAAGAAGAGAAUCACCCUCUAUCCAUAUUUGUGUGUGCACGAUUUGGUCAAAGCCUAGAUUGGGCCUUACUCCAAAUAAUAUAAUAUAAGUUAGAAUCACCAUUUAAUUUACCAUAAGUUAGAAUGGAAAAAAAAAAGCUCCAGAACUUGCUCAUUGGAGAAUUAUUAUAACAGUAUGUCUAAUAUCAUAGCCACAUUAUUUAUAAGAUUUGUUCUUUUAUAUGUAUACCUAAAACUUGCAGAUAUAUAUUCAUAAAAUUACUAUUUACAUAUAUAACUGUUAUAAAUUAUUUUUUAUAUAUGUACCUAAGGUAAAUAUGCCAUCUAAUGCCAUAAAAAAAUAGAAUGUUCGGAGUUAAAAAGACUAAGAUGCUUUUAAUAUAUAUAGACAUGAAAAAAUAAUUUACAAAAUUAUACAUGCAAAUACUAAAUUUACAUGGGCAUACAUACUUUUGGAUAUUUACCUGCAUACUUUGAUUGAAUACAAAUUAAAUUAAGAUGGAUAUGAAAAAAAUAUUUUAUAAAAAUAUGUAUAUAUAAACAAUGAAUUUGUAAAAAUAUAUAAAAUUUUAAAUAUUUUUAGAAGAUGUAUGUGCUGAAAAAUUCAGAACAAGGAUCUGAUGUGAGACAAGCACUCAGGGCCAAGCCCUCGAAUGGGGUUCUCGGAACCGCCUAACCGAACCAAAACCACAUGGGUUUUCUACUCUUCUCGCUGCGGCAACGAACGAAACAACAAAGAAAACCAGAGGCUCGCCAACGCUCUCGGUGCUCCGCUCUCCCUCCAAUGUCGCUGGCGCCCCCUGCCUCCUCCCCCAACUCCCUCCUAUUCUUGGAAACGAAUCGGUCCGGGAAAAAUAACCGAUCUUGCUAUCCUCGCUGGGGCUCCCGCUUUACCCCAACCUCCGCCCUCCUCCUCCCUCCUCCUGCUCCCCCCCAUUUUUAUGGCAUGAAUCUCCAAACCCUACCGUCUCUACUCUACU
This 8705-nucleotide long non-coding RNA is filed under the name Phoenix dactylifera (date palm). RNAcentral's name for it is "long non-coding RNA (PDAC_LNC000637)". The record is from RNAcentral. Lineage: Eukaryota; Viridiplantae; Streptophyta; Magnoliopsida; Arecales; Arecaceae.